UUUAAAAAUAAGGUACACGAAGGUUUGCCUAGGCGUGACCACACUAGAUUAUUUCAACCUGGGCAAGCCAUUAACACUAACUCAAAGCGCGAAUCCAACUCUCUGGUUGUUUCAAUCAACUUGCACAAAAUGCGCACACAACACACUACGCACAAAUACGGUAAUAUUAUAUGAUCUAUAUACAUGCUUUUAAUUUAAAUACUCUUCAAAAUUCACUGUUAUUAAUAAUUUCUUUCUCCGCAAUUUAUUUAUCAAUCAUUUCUCAUCUCCACCUUCUCUCUACAAUUCACUAAUUCUCAUACCCACUUUUAGCUAAUUUUAAUUUGUGUACAAACCUAAUCUUGUUUAACAUAUAAUUCAUAAUACCCAAUUUAAUUUCUAAUCAAACUAAUGGUAGAAUGAACACUAAUUACUGAAAUUUAAUAACUCACGCUCCAAUUUUUUUUUUUCUCGCGUCUUUUCUGGUUUCUCUUCCCGUCUCUCGCUCCUCGCUAUCGUCUUUGUUUUGUUCCUUCUUCUUUUGCGCUGAGUUUCCUUCCUUCUCUCUUCAUCUUUCCUCUCGUCUUCCUCUCUCUCCUUUUUUCCCCUUUACCUCUUUCUUUUUUUCUUUUUUCCUUUCCAAACACUAUAGGUACAAUGCCGACAAACCAUCAAUUUUUUUAAUUAAAUUACAAUACACCUUUCCCUUCUAAUUUCGGAUUCUUCUUUGAUUAUCUCACAAUUGUUUAAAAUCUUUCAAUUUAAUCGCAACUAAGUUAAGUAUUCAACGCUAAUUGUACCCGUAACUUUAAUUAAUAACAUUUUACUGUUUCCCCCGCACCUACACGCCUCCCUAUAUAACGGCACGUGGCUUCACCGUCAAUAAACUAGAACUAACGAAUUAUUAAAUAAGAAUUAACUAUAUAAUUUAUCAUUGAAUGAAACUAAUUAAUGAUUAAGGAUUUAGGGUCUCACAAAACUCUCCCUCUCCCCGCCUUAAUAAAAAUUUCGCCCCGAAAUUCUCACAUCUGUGAUAGAAAUCUACCACGAUCUCAUAUACCUCGAACUCUCCUAAGUCGCCUCAUCGACUUAGAACUUUCUUCAUAUUCAAUUUGGCACAAAUCGAUCCAAUACAAUUGGAAUUCUCACCCAUACUAUCUCAACAAAACGAAGUCCACCCAAAUAAUAUAUUAAGAAGAAGUUCUCCCUAAACACAAUAUAAUCCAUCGCCUGCCCAAUUAUUCAGAGGCCUCAAUAUUAAUUAAUAAGAGUAUUAAUCCUCAAUCUGUUUCACUAUUCCAUAAAUUUCAAUAUGCUACCCCGCUACCGACUCAUCUUAAUUCUCUUGCCAACUUCUGCCAUUUACUAACAUUGAUACUACUCGAUCAUGCCGCUACAAACUCUACAUUUGUAAUGGUCUCAUCUUCUUAUCCACAUAUUAACUCUAUUUUUAAAUCCCAACAGUUUCAUUUCUCUCAACAUCACUCUAACACAACAGGUCAAUCCAUCUCCAAUAUACAAACUCUCCAAAUGUCAUACAAAAAAACUAUGUCUGGUAAUUGUAAAUUCCAUUAAAGUUAAGUAUUCACUCAAUUAUGUUGAAGUACAACCGAUGAUACCAUAUCAUACCUCUUCAAAUAUCUACAUAAUCCUCUGUGACUACCCAUUCCCGAACACCCAUCGUGCGACCAAUGCUUCUCAUGCCAACCAAGAUCUUAUUAGUUAUGAGGAGUUUUGCCAGAUUUCAACACCAUUGCCACAUUCAAUCACGUCAUCAAUGAAUAUGACUUAUAACAAUUUUUAUCAUAUAAAUGUUUAAAGUCACCACAAUGCUCACGCACAUAGGUUUUCCCACCAAUUGAGAUAUAAAAAUCACUCCAUUAACAUGUAAUAUUUUCUGAAUGCAUGUAUGAUUACAACAACAAUAAACAGCGCUUUAGAUAUCAUGAAUGUCCCGGACACUCUUGUAGGCUAGUCCACCGUGACUAAGCCUUAGGUUUAGCCCGCACCCGUGGCUAUACCUUUCUCAUUACUAUGGCGUUAUGCACACAAUAUGAAUGUAAACGCAAUAUCACCAUCAUAACUCAACGAUCAAUAUCCUAUUAUAUGUCAGCACAAGUCGGCCACACCAACAUCAACACCAUAUAGUACACAACAUCAUCACCAAUAUUGAAUGCAAUAUCAUAUCAAUAUAAUAACAAUUUCAAUAUAGAUAAGUUACAUAAGUCUACCAGCAUAAACCACUUUAAUCAUCUAAGACAUAUGAGUAAAUUGUCUCAAACUCUCACCUUACUACAAUCAUUAUCUUCCUCUGCUAGUCAGUGCAAUAUUAACAACUAUAGUUUUUUAAUUGAGUUCAACCACUCCCACAAUAUGUCCUUUAAGCCUGAAUAAUAUUUUCCUCUCUUUACGAUAGUAACACAUUCUAAAAUCUGAUGUGAGGCAAUUAUUCUAAAAGCACAAUCCUCACUCCUAGACAGCAUAGUCAACAAACAAAAUCUGAAACCAGUUUAAUUUUCAACAUUAAUUUUCUUUUUUCUUUCUUUCUUUCUUUCUUUCUUUUUUUUUCUCCUUUUUUUUUUUCUUAUCUUCUAAUCUUUUGUCCCCCCACUAAGCCCAAUUGGUUUUUUUCCUUUCAAAAAUUACACUUUUGUUUUCUUCCUUCUCAAAUUUUGAAAUUCUUUAAUUUCAUUUCAAAAUUUUUGAAGUUUUCAUUUGAACCCCACACUUACAUUCAAAGAUAUUAUUAUCAAUAUAGAUCAUACUCCCCAAACACUUCCUGUAAUUUCAAUAUCCAGAUGAACUGAAUAGGCACACGUUUUGUAGUCAAUCCAAUAAUACAACUCUAACUACCAAAUACUUUCAUAUCUUUUAUGAUUCCUCUUCCAUUUUUCUAUCAUAAUCUCAAACAUUUCAAAAUUACAAUGUGUCAUUACACCCAGUCACCUUCACACCUUCAUCAACUUGCUUUAUUCAUAAUCAUUCUUCAAUUUUCAUUAUACGUUUCCAAUAUACACAUUCAACUUUGUUUCAUCUCAAUAAACUCAAACCUCACAAGGGUAAUGCAUUCCACAUAGCCACUUAAUUUCAUCAUGGUCCCUCAAAUGAAAAAUCAGUACAACACCAUAAAUCUUUCAUUCAAAAAAAUUUCAUUGUUUAUAUCAGAAACAUAACGCCCAUAAAAUGAUAACCAUCCUCAGUCCCACUUCCUAUAACGAAAAGACCACUCACUCCCAAUACCACACUAAGCACUAUCGAUGGGCCUUAUCCCAUUUUCCUCAUUGCAUUUAACAUAAAUUCACAGUCCUUCUUUUCUUCAAAAAUAAAAUAAAACUCACCCAUAUGCUAUUCAUAAACUCCAAUACAUAUUAAAGACCUUGAAAUCUUAAUUCACAAAUCAGAACUCUUUCACUUUAGAACUACAAUUGGUCCACCACUAAAUACAAAAUCAAACACAUAACACCAGUUAUUAUUAUUUUCUUAUUAUUUUAUUUUUAUUUUUAUUUUUAUAAGUACCCACCGCCACACCCAUAGAAGAACUUGAAUCCUCUGAAUUCUGACUAUAUAAUCUCAAGUACAAUCAUAAUAUCUCCCAACAAACCUACAAUACAUUCAACAUCCUCUUAUAACUAUAUAAUUAAGGAUUUAUAAUUCUACGAUACCAAUAGAUUACCACCUCUCUUUACUAUCUUCUUUCAAAAUUUUACACACGGUCUAAAUUUUAGCUCAAUGAGUUGGGUUUAAAUCAAAUUCAAAGUCCACAGAAAUCAAAGGAUGGAAUUAGGAACUAAUCAGAUAUCUGAAUUGAAAUUGCAAUCGGCCAAUUAUGCACUCAACACAAACACCAAGAUCAGUCACCCAAAAAGGCUCAAAAAAACAAUAAAUAAAGAUAUCAACAGAUCACUCUCUACACUACGAUGAUCAGUAUCAACAAUCUCAUUCACUAACCCUAUCUCAGGACAUCCAAAAUUCCACUCAAUCAAUAGCAAGAAUCCAUAAUGUACAACUUGCUGACUUAUAGAAGUGAGACUUCACAUAUAUCGCUACUCUUGAUAUUAUGAUAGAUACUCAUCAAUAUUCUCAACUUAUCAUAUUAUCCGCAACAAAAUACUAACUCAAAAUAAGAUAAACACUGCAUACUUAAACUACCAUUGCUGCAAUUGGUAAUCAUCGAACGCAAGUAAUACAAAAUUACCAAAGAAUCAAAUUCAUAUUCUACAAUGUUUUUUUUUUCUCCAAGUUUUCAUACACCUCGUUAUAAUACCACUUCUCACUUCCACACGAUAUUCUCUAUAGUGUAAAAAACAAAUAUAUUGGUGUCUUCUGAUUAUAUUAAUGCUCACUGAGUUCAAUGAUUCAUAACACAUACUCUUAACACCCUGAAUCCAUAGUUCAGAGAUACGCCCAUGUCACAACGGGAAUACUGAUAACAACCUCUUUCUCAAUUUUCACUAAAUGGGUUCUCUUCUGGCCAUUCUCUCUGCACUCAUUCAAUAGUAGUACCACACUUAUAGACCCACAUCACCUUAUCUACUUAAGCCGACACAAACACCCCUAUGGUUCCUGCAAUCCUAGACAAACAACAACCACCCACACCACACAGCCUCGGUUUAUAGACUUUGGCUUGGAAACUAAAACCACAGCUCUGAUAAACCAAACUGUCACAUCCCCCAAACCUAAUUAAACAUAAUUAAUCUAAUUAAUGGGAUGUGAUCGCACAGGUCAACCAUACCUGCGACGACUCCGGAUUUCCUCCACAUACUCCAAUGGACUAACAGAUAUUAUUAAAAACAAAUACUAUAAGAUUAACAUAUAUCCUACACUACAUAGAAACAUACCAUCUGUAAAUAUAAGACAUUUUAUACAACCAACUAAGUUCUGCCCACAACAUCCAACCAACCAGGAAUCCACACAGCUAGGACUAUGACCACAUGAUCCGACCCUAUCCAUAAUCUCCUCACCUGACAAAACAAUCUUGUGUGGGUGUGAGCCUAAAUAUCCACGUGCUCACAAUAGAUCAUCAAUUCAUAUAAAAUGAUGAAGAAACAAACAACACAUCAUAUAAAUAUCCAACAAAAUUAAAUGUUCAAUUGCAUAAGCAUCACCCACAUUGCGCCAAGUUUAGAUAACGUUUUGCCCAACAUUUGUUGCUCGUUAUCAAUGAAUGCCCACCGUGGCCCCCUAGGCUAGUCCACACCGUGACUAAGCCUUAGUUAACCCCCCACCGUGGUUAACUUUCACCAGUCAAUGCAAGCACACAGAUAAUGAUAUGCAUUGCACAAUCCACCUCACCGAUAUAAUCCACAGAUAUAAAUCAUUAUUCACCAUCGUAUAAAUUCACCAAAUCAUCAAAUCAUCAAUCUAUAAAAGACAAGCAAUUCAAUAUGAAUACGAAUUAUCUUAUAUAUUAUUUUCCCACCUGCCACCUCAUAUUUAUAUCAUUAUCAACAUGAUUAUAUAAUCAUCACAUAAAUAUAAUCAACCACCACAAUCAAUAUCACCUCAUAGAUAAUUAUCAUCACCACCAUCGUAAACAGAGCAAGCAAUUCAGUAUGAAUAAGAUCAUCUAUAUCCCACAUAUCCCACCUGUUACCGGCAUACCAAUUUAGUCACUCCUCUCGUUAACCCAGAGUAAUUUGAUCCGCUUUAUCCAAAAACCUAUAACAAAAUAAUUUUCACAUAUUAAUCCAUCCCUACUUGUAAUAUAUAGCCGAUGGAUUUGUAUAAACUAUUACCAAUUACAACCUAGAAAUUUUCAAGACGUCGACCAUGUUUCACAUUUCAAACCGUUGAUCGUUACUAAUCACGCUCUUAUCACUACCGUCACCACUUUAUGAAUACUUUAUUCUAAACUUUGAAUUUGUCCAAACUGACCCCAUAAUUAAGAUUCAGAAGGCGACAUUGAAACGACUAUUCACACAAUACUAAAAUUCAUCCGUUUUGACAAUUUUAAAAUAAGGUACACGAAGGUUUCCUAGGCGUGACCACACUAGAUUAUUUUCAACCUGGGCAGCCAUUAACACUAACAGAAGCUGCGAAUCCAACUCUCUGUUUGUUUCAACUUGCACAAAAUUGCGCACACACACACAUACGCACAAAUACGUGUAUAUAUAUAUAGAUCUAUAUACAUGCUUAUUUAUUUAAAUACUCUUCAAAUCAACUUUAUUAAUAAUAUUCUCAAUUUAUUUUCAAAUCAAUUUCUCAUCUCCACCUUCUCUCU
This 6199-nucleotide long non-coding RNA is filed under the name Actinidia chinensis (golden kiwifruit). Its description in RNAcentral is "long non-coding RNA (ACHI_LNC000968)". Lineage: Eukaryota; Viridiplantae; Streptophyta; Magnoliopsida; Ericales; Actinidiaceae. The record is from RNAcentral.